UACGUAGGGUGCGAGCGUUAAUCGGAAUUACUGGGCGUAAAGCGUGCGCAGGCGGUUCGUUAAGUCAGCUGUGAAAGCCCCGGGCUCAACCUGGGAACGGCGGUUGAAACUGGCGAACUAGAAUCUGGCAGAGGGGGGUGGAAUUCCACGUGUAGCAGUGAAAUGCGUAGAGAUGUGGAGGAACACCGAUGGCGAAGGCAGCCCCCUGGGCUGACACUGACGCUCAGGCACGAAAGCGUGGGGAGCAAACAGG
Molecule: ribosomal RNA, 253 nt
Filed under: uncultured bacterium
Lineage: Bacteria
Description: partial 16S ribosomal RNA
Rfam family: Bacterial small subunit ribosomal RNA
Source: RNAcentral